Clupea harengus (Atlantic herring) is the source of this 5488-nucleotide long non-coding RNA. NCBI's taxonomy places the organism in Eukaryota, Metazoa, Chordata, Actinopteri, Clupeiformes, Clupeidae. The record is from Ensembl.
CACGUACUACGGUGUAUGUAGGUCACUGUUGUUGUCUCAGGCUCAGGAACACACGCUCCAGCACUUGGACAGGGAUGCAUGCGCUGGAAAGAAACAAAAUGGAGCCCGUCACCUCACCACAGCUGCACAGCUGCACCGGGCUGCACCACACACACUUGUGAGACCAGUGCUUCUGUGUUCAGGUCAGCAUUGUCUCUCUGAAGUAGCUAGUGCCCCCAUUUUGGGUCGCCAUUUUGGCAGGAAGUACUUCUUACCAAAAGGUUGUUCUUGAGAGGGGGUUCCUACAUGACAAGCCGAGUUGGAUGCACAGGCACUGGAGACCAUGGCUGAUUCGUGAGAUUAGUUAGUGACUGAUUGGGGAGUGCUUACAUCUCGUAAAGAUGAACAGAUCGUCGCUGUAGAAUAGCUAACACUUGUGGUCGGCAUUUAGACAGUGGGCUUCCUCCCUGGACUCCUCCCCUCCCCGUUGCGUUGUGGGACUGCUCAUAUCGAGGGUGAGGUCACUGCGGAUCAGGGGUCAAAGUUCAACUAAAAUCGUUUUUUUUUUUUUUUUUUUUCUAUUAAAGUAGCUAAAUGUACUCUAGGAUUUACGGCCGCCCGAUAUCCAAAUUCACACACAUCAAUAGGGCUGCUUGUUUCGAGACUGUACCAAGCGUUUAAAGAAACAGAUUCUCCUUUAAAAAGGCAAGCAAAUGAGUUAAUGAGUUGUUUGUUGCUGUUAGCAUAGCAUACUGAUCACACAAUUGAAUCUUCCUAUAGUUUCCUCAGGCUUAGGGCGAUCCAAUCUAGGGCACAUCGUUUACUUGGCCUUAAACCCCCUUCCAAGAUAUUUUUCUGUAUCUUUCCAUUGCAUGUGUAACAUAUUUGAUUAUUUAGAACUAUAUUUGCACAAUAAGGUGGGAACAGGAACUUAAGAGGAGAAAACUUAGAAGGGUAGAACUGGCUACUUUUUACCUACCCAGGGACAAUAGAGAUGCAUCCAAAAUAUUGUGUAAAUAUUGAAUGGGCACCUGAUAAUGAUAAAUAUACUUAUUUAGUCCUUUGUUUCACUUUUUCGUCCGUAUGCAAUUGUACCUUGUCUUUUGUUUGUUUGUUUGUUUGUUUGUUUUUUUGAGGGAAAUGUUGCUAUGUUUACACAGCCAGGAUUGUUUAGACAGUACCUGAGGUCUUACGAAGAUCUUUACAGAAGCCCCCCCCCCCCCCCCCCCCAGGUCAGCGGGUGCUGGUAUGUACAGUGAUACAAGGGUAGACACAUAAAGCCCCAGUACAACACCACCACAGGGGACCCCCAUCUCAAACCACCACAGUGGCCCCCCAGUACAACACCAACACAGGGGGCCCCCAUCUCAAACCACCACAGCGGACCCCCAGUACAACACCACCGCAGGGGACCCCCAGUACAACACCAACUCAGGGGACCCCCAUCUCAAACCACCCAGUGGCCCCCAUCUCAAACCACCCAGUGGCCCCCAUCUCAAACCACCACAGCGGACCCCCAUCUCAAACCACCCAGGGACCCCCAUCUCAAACCACCACAGGGGACCCCCAGUACAACACCACCGCAGGGGACCCCCAGUACAACACCAACACAGGGGACCCCCAUCUCAAACCACCACAGGGGACCCCCAGUACAACACCACCGCAGGGGACCCCCAGUACAACACCAACACAGGGGACCCCCAUCUCAAACCACCACAGGGGGCCCCCGUCUCAAACCACCCGGUGGCCCCCUCAUCAGGGCAUCAGGCAGGCAGGCUGAGGCAGGGCCCACUCGGAUCAUAGCUGCCCCUAGCUGGCCUCUUGGCCAUUGGCCAUCCCCGCCCCACACACACACACGGAUGGACCCUUUGCGAGGGUGUGUCAGGCCCAGGUCCUGAAUAUUGGGGUGACCCUUGAGGUUGCCCUGUCUUGACCAUUUGAAUUCUUCAAGACUGAAACAUUUAAGAGAAAAAGGUGUUUCUGCAGAACACAGUAAAGGGGGAUCAAUCAAGAUAGCUAGGGCCUGCCUCCUCAUACACACACCCUCAGUGUCUUCCUCCUCACCAUCACACUCCUCACACCAUCACUCGACACACACUACUUACCACAUGUCCGGUACAGACUUGAGUCUGAGAGACUCUACUCUUGCAUGCCUUAACAUCUCCGCCUCCCUCCAUCCCCUCAGCAGGUGUGGGGGAGUAUUUCAAACGAUUGUCCUCCUUGAUUGUGUACGAUGCUCUUGACUGUGAAACACACACACCUACCUGUACAUGACUCUUCCCUCGAAAAACAUUCCCAGCAUAGGUCAACAACGGUCACAGUGUCUCUCAUUCCAUGCCUUCGUUAAUUUCAUUUGUAACCAGUUCUAUUCAUUUCUCAAAAGCUUGCUUCGUUUUUUUUCUACUCAUUAAUGCUAUCUAUCCUGUCUGUUCAUCUACUGGUUUUUAAUGUUUAUCAGUCCCCUCAGAGGCCAUUGCUUUUCUCAGGGUAGUAGGACUUCAAAUCGAGUUAACUGAAAAGCAGACUGGAAAAAAAAAGAUUAUGAUGAACACUAAUUCACGUGUUCUGUAUGCCUCGAGCAUGUCCUUCAGAGGCAGAUUACAUCAACAGAUCUGCUCUGCAACCUCACUGUAUGGAAUCACUGCAUCUUCACUGUAUGGAAUCACUGCAUCUUCACUGUAAGGAAUCACUGCAUCUUCACUGUAUGGAAUCACUGCAUCUUCACUGUAUGGAAUCACUGCAUCUUCACUGUAUUGAAUCACUGCAUUCUAACUAUUGAAUCACUGCAUUCUAACUAUUGAAUCACUGCAUUCUAACUGUAUUGAAUCACUGCAUUCUAACUGUAAGGAAUCACUGCAUUCUAACUAUUGAAUCACUGCAUCUUCACUGUAUGGAAUCACUGCAUCUUCACUGUAUGAAAUCGCUGCAUCUUUGCAUAAAGCCACUCAAUAACAGGCGGCUGAUCAGACAGAGCUCUUAGCUCCAGCUCUUCAUUCAUUGGUACCAUGUGGUGUGUUGCAAUGCAAGUCAUUUCCAUUUCUCUCCGCCUCAGGCAAUUACUCUUGAAUAAGGUUGAUGUAAGUGAUAUUUAGAGAGGCCGUGACCCACACAGAUGUAUCCACUCUUGAACCACAUCUUCUCAGUGAGCCAAUUUGCUGCAGUCCCAGCUCUCGCCUGUGGUGGGGGACAAAUACGAAAACCCCGAUCUGAUCCAGAUCAGUUGCAUGCAUGUUUACAACUCCACUGCACUAACCUUUCAAUUACAAAAAGUACAAACUCCGCGUCAGGAUUUGGCCAACACCUAACAGCCUUUAACCACACAUUAACUAAAAGAAUGGGUCGUCUCUGUAAUGGAACAGUCGUCUGCACCUCUUACCAGUUCUCUGAGCACUAUCUUCCACAGAUCUCCAAGUCGGCUGUAGGAUCUCUGUCUGUUAUGCGUGUACUGUGGCCGUGCGGUCUGUCCCACUGUCUCACUGAUGUUCCGUAACUUUUUUGGAGAGAAAAAAAAGCGCAGCAUGACUGAAGAAUAGAAGAAAAAAAAAAAUAAUUCUAUGCAAGUGUUGCAUGAGAUCUGAUUGUUUAUUUCUACAGUUCUGCAGUACUUAAGUAAUGCAUCGGUUAUUCUUCCUCUUCUUCUUGUUAUUUAAGUAGUAUUAUUAUAUAGGGCAUUUCACUCAUCAACCUAGUUUUCUGCUGACUAUUAGAGGAUUAAAGGACUGCACUCAAUUGUGUAGGGUUGAAAAAAUGCACUGAUGACGUAGAGAGAGAGAGAGAGGGAGAGAGAGAGAGAGAGAGGGAGAGAGAGAGACAGAGAGAGAGAGAGAGAGAGAGACAGCAAGAGAGAUAAGAAUGUCCACAAAAAACGUAAUGUAGCCAGAGGGGACGGGUUCACCCCUCUAUAGGGGGGAAACACUGUCCAAGGUGUCCGAUUAGGAGACCUCAUGUCAGAAUUCAACUGUGAGACCAAACCUCUCACGGAGUGAACACAUCUCAACCGGAAAGACACCGUGUGCUCUUUCCCCUCAACAUAAAAACCAACAACGGGUCUCUCCUCACAUAGGACAUGGAUGUUUUGGAAAUUUGUAUUUUAUGUUUUGCUUUUUUUUUGUUUUCUUUCUCUUCUGUGAACUCAGAAGCCUUGCAUGUCUUCUCACAUUAUAAGCUAGUUCUUCCCAUGUUUUGGCAGAAUGUUUUUUCAAAGCGGACCAAUAUGAUCAUUUAAAAUAUUAAUAAACAACAACAAAACAUCAAGGGGUUACUUUGGGUAUAAGAAGCACAAUUUUUACAACCUUUAUGAUUUAGUGACUUCCUUUUGUCUUGUAUUCUGUAUGCAAUACGAACAUUGAAAUAUAACGCCUUAGAACAUCAAGACUUCCUCUGUGUAGGUAGAAAAGAAGAUAUUGCACUAAUUUCUUUUUUGAUGUCUGCUUUGCAAUGCAAUACAUGCACUGAUUAUAGCCCCAGACUUCACAGGACACUCCGAUGGUCUAUAUGCGUGAUGCUUCACGCCCUGCCCUGAUUUUCUGAGAAGAGUUUAAAAAAAAAAUGUAAAGAAAAAAAUCAAAUAAAACUUUAAAACGUCAUUAAAAAGAUUUCCUGCCUGACGCUGUAUAGAAUGCUUUCUAUUUCAAUUUAAAAAAAAGGAAGAAAAUGCUAUCAGUUAUAAUAAACAUAACAUUUUAUGUACUUUUAACCUUCCUGUGUUGCUGUUAUUUUAUCUGGGUGUCAGCAUUUUUUUUGUCAUGGAUGAAGUAACUGCUCCAAGUACAAGGAAACAACUUAUUGUUGGUACUCUCCCAAGCAAUGCGGUCAACAGCUAAACAUAUCUACACCGUCCAGUUCUGUUGACGGUACAGUAUGUAGGAUCUAGUGGCACCUAGUGGUGAAGCUGCAGAUUGCAACCAACUGAAUACCUUUCCCAUUCCAAGCGUGUAAGAGCUACGGUUGCUGUCAGGUGCCAUAACAACGCGAAAAGUGCCAGGAUUUUGGUUUGUCCAUAUCAGGGGCGAAUUUAGGUUCCCACUUUUGGGGGGGCUAAGCCCCUAGAUAAAACCUAAUCUUUUUCCUGUGACCCAGCAAAACUAGGGGGGUUUUGGGGCAUGGACAUUUUUUAAAUAUCCUUUUAAAUAGUGUCCUCUAGUGGUUGUAGGAAGAACAAUUUACUAAAUAACAAUUUAGAAAUAUGGCACAACAAUAAAACAUAUUGAAAACAUCUGCUGAGAUAGGUGCUAAUUAUACUGUAGCACAAUCUUUCCAAUGGUAGGGAUUUGCAGCUCAAGUGAGUAGGUUAACGUUGUAGGCUAGAGUUCACUUGCUAGUUAUAGCUGGCUGAGCUACUGAGUAGGCUAACAUACCCACAGGAUCAAUGAACCGGCAUGAUAAAAGAGAGCCACGACAUCUAUAAUUAACUCGUGAUGAUUUAAACAUUUCGUUUCUUUUACUAUUUUAAACUUCAUGUGCUAUACCUUUAUAUCCAGCAACUGAUUAUGGCAGCUUUCACCAGCUU